UUUCUUAGUCAGGGCUGCACUUAUUUCAAGUAGCAGCAGCAGCUAUAAUCUGUGCCAGCCAGAGGACUUCACUUCGCUUAUGUUCAGUGCUUCAUGUGUGGUGGGUUGGCUGCACAGCAGUCAUCAGCAUAAAACCCUUCUUUGCUGGAACUGCACUUCAGUAAAACAUAAUGCUCUUUACAUGAGUGGCACGUACGGAGGAGCAGCAGAUAUUUGGAGUUCCAACAGAACAAUCCGCUGCUACUAUGGUAAAAUGAGGAAACUGGAAACAAGUUGAAGGAAUGACAGCUGGCUGGAAACAACACUGGAAGCAAGAUAUAUUAUGUUAACAGUUCUUCCUUUUGUCUUUGAAGUGUGUACCAAGAUGCUCUGAUCUGAGGAGACAUUGCACGUAUUGCUGCUUGUACUUUCAGUGACCCCAUUAGGAUUAAACAGUAUGAACACAGUGUGUGCUUCACAAAACUAGCCACAGCAUCAAUAAAUAGGCCAAACAUAGUAUUCA
This 502-nucleotide long non-coding RNA is filed under the name Anas platyrhynchos platyrhynchos (common mallard). RNAcentral describes it as "lncRNA (ENSAPLG00000019400.1)". The record is from RNAcentral. Lineage: Eukaryota; Metazoa; Chordata; Aves; Anseriformes; Anatidae.